UGCCAGACUCCUACGGGAGGCAGCAGUGGGGAAUAUUGCACAAUGGGGGAAACCCUGAUGCAGCGACGCCGCGUGAGUGAAGAAGUAUUUCGGUAUGUAAAGCUCUAUCAGCAGGGAAGAGGUUGACGGUACCUGAGUAAGAAGCCCCGGCUAACUACGUGCCAGCAGCCGCGGUAAUACGUAGGGGGCAAGCGUUAUCCGGAUUUACUGGGUGUAAAGGGAGCGUAGACGGCAGUGCAAGUCUGAAGUGAAAGCCCCGGGCUUAACCCGGGAACUGCUUUGGAAACUGUACGGCUGGAGUGCUGGAGAGGUAAGCGGAAUUCCUAGUGUAGCGGUGAAAUGCGUAGAUAUUAGGAGGAACACCAGUGGCGAAGGCGGCUUACUGGACAGUAACUGACGUUGAGGCUCGAAAGCGUGGGGAGCAAACAGGAUUAGAUACCCCAGUA
RNAcentral lists this ribosomal RNA (446 nucleotides) under uncultured bacterium. Its description in RNAcentral is "bacterial SSU rRNA". It matches the Rfam family "Bacterial small subunit ribosomal RNA", at positions 329 to 792 of the family's 1533-position model. The record is from RNAcentral.